GUCGAGAAUCUUUCACAAUGGGGGCAACCCUGAUGGAGCGACGCCGCGUGGAGGAUAAGGUCUUCGGAUUGUAAACUCCUGUCAUGCGUGAACAAGGUUGCUUGGUUAAUACCUGGGCAAAUUGAUGGUAACGCAAGAGGAAGAGACGGCUAACUCUGUGCCAGCAGCCGCGGUAAUACAGAGGUCUCAAGCGUUGUUCGGAAUCACUGGGCGUAAAGGGUGCGUAGGUGGCGUGGUAAGUCAGAUGUGAAAGCCCGGGGCUCAACCUCGGAACUGCAUCCGAUACUGCCAUGCUAGAGUACUAGAGAGGUGACUAGAAUUCUCGGUGUAGCAGUGAAAUGCGUAGAUAUCGAGAGGAAUACCAAAGGCGUAGGCAGGUCACUGGACAGUUACUGACACUGAGGCACGAAGGCCAGGGGAGCGAACGUGAUUAGAUACCCCUGUAGUCC
This 449-nucleotide ribosomal RNA is filed under the name uncultured bacterium. Its description in RNAcentral is "partial 16S ribosomal RNA". It matches the Rfam family "Bacterial small subunit ribosomal RNA", at positions 354 to 796 of the family's 1533-position model. The record is from RNAcentral.